This 253-nucleotide ribosomal RNA is filed under the name uncultured bacterium. RNAcentral describes it as "partial 16S ribosomal RNA". It matches the Rfam family "Bacterial small subunit ribosomal RNA", at positions 524 to 776 of the family's 1533-position model. The record is from RNAcentral.
UACGUAGGGGGCAAGCGUUGUCCGGAUUUAUUGGGCGUAAAGAGCGUGUAGGCGGCUAGGUAGGUCCGUUGUGAAAACUCGAGGCUCAACCUCGAGCUGUCGAUGGAAACCAUCUGGCUAGAGUCCGGAAGAGGAGAGUGGAAUUCCUGGUGUAGCGGUGAAAUGCGCAGAUAUCAGGAGGAACACCAAUGGCGAAGGCAGCUCGCUGGGACGUGACUGACGCUGAGACGCGAAAGCGUGGGGAGCAAACAGG